Molecule: long non-coding RNA, 863 nt
Filed under: Anser brachyrhynchus (Pink-footed goose)
Lineage: Eukaryota; Metazoa; Chordata; Aves; Anseriformes; Anatidae
Description: lncRNA (ENSABRG00000012311.1)
Source: RNAcentral
GAAAUAUUCCAGUUCAAAAGAACUUCCCAGUUCUGCGUGUGGUACCGUUGUGACCAGUUCAAGGAACCCAUCGUCCCAGAGUCCUGGUGGUCCCUUGUGCUGCUCUGCUGGAUGGACAUCUUCCUCUGAAAGCAGCUCUCUGAGUUCUUUAUAAAACCCUCUCACCUGGGCAUCCCACAAAUGACAGCAAGUUGGUGGGGAGCUAGCCAGCUGAGGCUGUUGCCUCCUCCCUACCUUUGUUUAACCUUUUGUUUUGUUUCUCUGUCUGUGAUAGGAUCCAGAAACCAGGAUCUGAUGGUGCCUGUGAGCUGGGCUGCUACUGCACUGUAGAAGUCCAUCAGAAAUGCUCUGACAGGAAGAAAAUAUGUUUUCUGCAGCCCCUGGCUCCCUGCCAGCUGUGGGAUAGCUGCUUCAGACACAGACUAGCCCAGACAGUCCUAAUACAUCAUAAUAUUAUGAAACCUCCUCGAAGCAAUGCUAAGAAAAUGUAGGGCAGGAUUUAGUCUGUGGGCUCCUGAGGAAGACCUCUGCCUCAGAUGAAAUCUGGACCCAUGGCUGAGGAGCAACAUCUUCCUCUCCCACCACUAGGAAUGAAGGACGUGUAUCCUCAUCGGGGACAGCAGCAGGGAGACAGCCAGCAAUCCUCCUCCGAACCGCAGCGCUGUUCAGGAAGAAAACCAGCACUUAUCCUCAGACGCUUAAACUGAUUGCAUCCAUGCUCCGCCUGGUCAGCCUCUGAAUACCACUUCCCCUCGCCUGAGUCAUUUAAUCACCGCUGCCAAUCAGCACCAUUGAACAGAGCAGCAAUACGUCUCAAAGCUCAAUCACCUUCAUAAUCGUCUCACUGUCAGCACAUGUGAGGG